UCAUUUUCGGCCAAAAUUUUAGUUGAGUUGGAAUUGGACAGUUAUACAACUUACCUCACUCACCGGCGCCAGAACGCUCGGAUUUUCGCCGCCUUCAACCACCGCCCGGAGACGCUCAAAUCCUCCGAUUACUUCUCAACUCAUUUUCAUUUUGCCCGCAAUGAUCGAAUUCCGACUUCUGGAAGGAGAAACUAAGACGGAGGAGGGAAUCGUUCCGGUUUAAGAAUUGGAGCGGUGCCUGAAAUGGCGGGAAGAGAAUGAUUCAGAAGUAAAUGAGUCAGAGAACUUUCACCAGUUUCACCAAAUGUCUGAGUUGCAAUCCAACAAUCCGGGCAUUCGUACAUGAGUCCGGAUGUCGUGCCCUCCACUUCCAAAUUCCAACGACAUGCUUGGAGUUGUAGUCUUGUCUUGUCGUGUCGUGUUCCUAAUCUCUCGAUCUUUUUUUUUGUCCCUUUUCCUUUUUUGAUUCUUCUUUUUACUUUCAAUUACUUUUCUAUUCAUCGCGCUUUUCCUCAGAUUGCCAUGAUUGAGCUGGAAUUCCCGUUUGAAUUCCUGCAUCGUGCACAAAUGAGUGAGGUCUUUACUUUUGGGUUUACUUUUUUUAUUAGACAGACAUACUGAUGAGAUUUCCAUUAUAAAAUCGUUUUUAGUGCUUAUGCUUUACCAAUUGUAUUAUCCACUUUAAUGCUUCUUUUCCAAUUAUUGAAAUUCUUUCCGUUUCCUGGUCCUACAAAAGGAACAUGAACGCUUGGUUGGAGAUUUGUCACUUUAAUUUGUUGGCCUCUACUUUACUUUACGUUUCCUCUUUGAAUUAGAACAUGGCUCUCUUUUUCUGUUUAGUUUUACCUGUCGUGCAAGCUAUUGAAUGAUGCCAUGGUGCUAUUACCGGAUUAUAUGUAAUAGUUUUCCAGCAAUUUGGAACAUACAAAUUUAUCUGUUACUAUUCCUCUAAAAUGUUAGUUCUGGGUCUAUGUCUACCUGCACAGUGUUCUCUGUUGAUGUUUUUGGCGUAUGUGGGUUUAAUAAUAUGCCAAAAGGUUGUUUAUUUGUGGUGAAACUAGCUGGUGCACUAGGUAAAAAGGGGAGAAAGAGUUUCUCCAUUUAGCAGUGCACUAAUGGUUUUUAUAUAAGAAGUAUGAACCCCACAAAUCAUUUAUUUAAUCUGCCAUAAUCUUUCCAAUUUGUUGAUUGUGUGAUGAAUCGAGUGAUGUUUACGAUAGUUAGAAGUCCAUGUUUUCCAUAAAUGGAGAGUCUGGCAUGAUUAUGAGGCAUUGAAGGAAAAAGUGGAAGAGGAUUGAAGGCAAUUUAUAUGCAAAAAAUAGCUCUGUCGGCAAAAGUUUUUAUUAAUCAAUUGUGAUGAAAAUGUGUUGGAGAUACAAGCUUGGGUUGCUUCUCAUUCUCAGUGUUGUGAUCUUGUGGGUUUCCUCUGCUGAAGUUACCCAGAGUAUUUUUGAAGAUUAUGAGCAACCAUUUGCAAUAUCAUAUGUUACAACGUCACUUUGGAUAGUUUAUCUUCCAAUAGCAUUGCUUAAGGACUGGUUGCUAAGUUUUUUGCACCGCUACAAUUCUAAACGUGGUGAUCUGUGUGUGGUUGGCCAAUCCUCUGUAGAAUUGCAGAAAAAUGAAGUCAAUAUUGCUUCUGAAUUAGAACAUCAAAGAGAGUUAAGUUGUAAAAACUGUACCAUAGACGUAUAUAGCAAGGAUGAGGGAGCACCAUUGGUGGCUGUACAUAUAGGUAAAGAAAACACACUGAAAAAGGAUCGCAAGUUCACUGCAAAGGAAGUUGCUGCUUUUGGCUUUUGCGUGGCUCCAAUCUGGUUUUUAACAGAGUACUUAACAAAUGCUGCACUUGCACGAACAAGCGUUGCGAGUACCACAUUGCUAUCCUCCACUUCAGGGUUGUUCACUCUUUUGAUUGGUGCAUUGCUGGGUGAAGACACAAUAAAUAUAAUUAAAGUUGUCUCUGUUGUUGUUAGCAUGGCUGGCGUUGUGAUGACAACAUUUGGGAAGACUUCAGCUGCAGAUGAAUUACAGAAGAAUGCAAAUGGAAAUGAGAAUCAUGCACUUCUGGGGAAUGUCUUUUCAGUCCUCUCAUCAGUGACUUAUGGCCUUUUCACUGUGCUUCUCAAAAAGUUUGCUGGAGGAGGACAAAAUUUAGAUAUGCAAAAACUGUUCGGCUGUAUUGGACUUUUCACCUUCGUUGCUCUUUGGUGGUUAGUGUGGCCUCUUACUGCCAUGGGCAUUGAACCCAGAUUCACGUUCCCCCACUCUGCGAAUGUGGAAGAAGUUAUAAUUGUCAAUGCUUUUGUUGGAAGUUUUUUGUCUGAUUAUUUCUGGGCUUUGGCUGUUGUUUGGACUUCCCCUCUGGUAGCUGCUCUAGGUGUUUCCCUUACUAUACCUUUUGCAAUGUUGGAGGAUAUGGUCAUCCAUGGCCGGCAAUAUUCUGUAAUUUAUAUCAUUGGGUCAGUUCAAGUAUUCUUGGGAUUUGUAAUAGCAAAUCUUUCAGAUUGGUUCUCUCAAAACUUGGCAUCCAAGGUGGCAAGAACAACUUCCCAACUGCAAUCACUCUCUUUUGGACCUCUGUGAUUGUGACAAGAUAAUGUGUUAUUUAUUAACUCCGCGACUUCUCAUUUUAAUUGGUCAAAAGCUUUGGGGAGGAAGGUCUUGGACUGAUACCACGAGACAAAAUGCUUUUUGGGAACUUAUAGUCAAGCUUAGAGAGCCAUCUGACAAGACCUUAAUCAAUUCAAAUAGGUUCUUCUCUCCAAGUCUCCUCAGCAAACAUAGUUAGGAGUUGAUGGAUGAUAUUAUUUUAAUAUAAUAUCAAAGGUAGGAGAUCUCAUUCUAAAAAAUGUCGAUUCAUCCCCGCUUCAAUAAAUAUUGUUUCACUUUAACAUGGUAUUAGAGUAGAAAGAGAGUUGGUCGUCAACUUAAACUUCUUAGUAGAAAGAGAAAGAUCACAACCUAGAAAUAGAAUUUUGAAAACAAGAGAUUUAAUGAAAACAAACUUAUCUUCA
This is an RNA transcript of Cucumis melo (muskmelon), 3017 nucleotides long. RefSeq lists it as uncharacterized. The record is from RefSeq and is a predicted model, not a curated record. The transcript has 10 exons. Lineage: Eukaryota; Viridiplantae; Streptophyta; Magnoliopsida; Cucurbitales; Cucurbitaceae.